CCCUUAGAUGUCCUGGGCCGCACGCGUGCUACACUGAUGCAUUCAACGAGUUUUACCUUGGCCGAGAGGCCUGGGCAAUCUUUUAAACCUGCAUCGUGAUAGGGAUAGAUUAUUGCAAUUUUUAAUCUUGAACGAGGAAUUCCUAGUAAACGCAAAUCAUCAAUUUGCAUUGAUUACGUCCCUGCCCUUUGUACACACCGCCCGUCGCACCUACCGAUUGAAUGGUCCGGUGAAGCCUCGGGAUUGUGGCCAGUUCACUUUAUUGGGAGUUGGCUGUGAGAACUUGUCUAAACCUUAUCAUUUAGAGGAAGGUGAAGUCGUAACA
This 325-nucleotide ribosomal RNA is filed under the name uncultured eukaryote. RNAcentral's name for it is "partial 18S ribosomal RNA". It matches the Rfam family "Eukaryotic small subunit ribosomal RNA", at positions 1470 to 1796 of the family's 1831-position model. The record is from RNAcentral.